Molecule: small nuclear RNA, 113 nt
Filed under: Aotus nancymaae (Ma's night monkey)
Lineage: Eukaryota; Metazoa; Chordata; Mammalia; Primates; Aotidae
Description: U5 spliceosomal RNA (ENSANAG00000010554.1)
Rfam family: U5 spliceosomal RNA
About the family: U5 RNA is a component of both types of known spliceosome. The precise function of this molecule is unknown, though it is known that the 5' loop is required for splice site selection and p220 binding, and that both the 3' stem-loop and the Sm site are important for Sm protein binding and cap methylation.
Source: Rfam by way of RNAcentral
AUGCUCUGGUUUCUCUUGAUAACAAAUCUUUCGCCUUUUACUAAAGAUUUCUGUGGAGAGGAACAAUUAUGAGUUUAUAACCGAAUUUUUUUAUGUCCUGCUUAGUCAGGGCU